Molecule: small nuclear RNA, 107 nt
Organism: Otolemur garnettii (small-eared galago)
Lineage: Eukaryota; Metazoa; Chordata; Mammalia; Primates; Galagidae
Source: Ensembl
GUGCUUGCUUCCACAGCACAUAUACUAAAAUUGGAAUGAUACAGAGAGGAUUAGCAUGGCCCCUGCACAAGGAUGACACGCAAAUUCAUGAAGCAUUCCAUAUUUUU